RNAcentral lists this ribosomal RNA (739 nucleotides) under uncultured bacterium. RNAcentral describes it as "bacterial SSU rRNA". It matches the Rfam family "Bacterial small subunit ribosomal RNA", at positions 8 to 796 of the family's 1533-position model. The record is from RNAcentral.
AGAGUUUGAUCAUGGCUCAGAGCGAACGGCGGCAGGCCUAACACAUGCAAGUCGAGCGCCGUAGCAAUACGGAGCGGCAGACGGGAGAGUAACACGUGGGAACGUGCCCUUUGGUUCGGAACAACACAGGGAAACUUGUGCUAAUACCGGAUAAGCCCUUACGGGGAAAGAUUUAUCGCCAAAGGAUCGGCCCGCGUCUGAUUAGCUAGUUGGUGGGGUAACGGCCCACCAAGGCGACGAUCAGUAGCUGGUCUGAGAGGAUGAUCAGCCUCACUGGGACUGAGACACGGCCCAGACUCCUACGGGAGGCAGCAGUGGGGAAUAUUGGACAAUGGGCGCAAGCCUGAUCCAGCCAUGCCGCGUGGAUGAUGAAGGCCCUAGGGUUGUAAAGUCCUUUCGACGGGGAAGAUAAUGACGGUACCCGUAGAAGAAGCCCCGGCUAACUUCGUGCCAGCAGCCGCGGUAAUACGAAGGGGGCUAGCGUUGCUCGGAAUCACUGGGCGUAAAGCGCACGUAGGCGGCUUUCUAAGUCAGGGGUGAAAUCCUGGAGCUCAACUCCAGAACUGCCUUUGAUACUGAAGAUCUUGAGUCCGGGAGAGGUGAGUGGAACUGCGAGUGUAGAGGUGAAAUUCGUAGAUAUUCGCAAGAACACCAGUGGCGAAGGCGGCUCACUGGCCCGGUACUGACGCUGAGGCACGAAAGCGUGGGGAGCAAACAGGAUUAGAUACCCUAGUAGUCC